This 461-nucleotide ribosomal RNA is filed under the name uncultured bacterium. Its description in RNAcentral is "partial 16S ribosomal RNA". It matches the Rfam family "Bacterial small subunit ribosomal RNA", at positions 338 to 795 of the family's 1533-position model. The record is from RNAcentral.
CCUACGGGGGGCUGCAGUGAGGAAUAUUGGUCAAUGGGCUUACGCCUGAACCAGCCAAGUCGCGUGAGGGAAGACUGCCCUAUGGGUUGUAAACCUCUUUUGUCAGGGAGCAACGCCGGCUACGUGUAGCCGGCCUGAGAGUACCUGAAGAAAAAGCAUCGGCUAACUCCGUGCCAGCAGCCGCGGUAAUACGGAGGAUCCGAGCGUUAUCCGGAUUUAUUGGGUUUAAAGGGUGCGUAGGCGGCCUUUUAAGUCAGCGGUGAAAGUCUGUGGCUCAACCAUAGAAUUGCCGUUGAAACUGGGAGGCUUGAGUAUGUUUGAGGCAGGCGGAAUGCGUGGUGUAGCGGUGAAAUGCUUAGAUAUCACGCAGAACCCCGAUUGCGAAGGCAGCCUGCCAAGCCAUGACUGACGCUGAUGCACGAAAGCGUGGGGAUCAAACAGGAUUAGAUACCCUUGUAGUC